RNAcentral lists this ribosomal RNA (500 nucleotides) under uncultured bacterium. RNAcentral's name for it is "partial 16S ribosomal RNA". It matches the Rfam family "Bacterial small subunit ribosomal RNA", at positions 30 to 523 of the family's 1533-position model. The record is from RNAcentral.
AUUGAACGCUGGCGGAAUGCUUUACACAUGCAAGCCGAACGGCAGCACGGACUUCGGCCUGGUGGCGAGUGGCGAACGGGUGAGUAAUACAUCGGAACGUGCCCAGUCGGGGGGGAUAACGUAGCGAAAGUUACGCUAAUACCGCAUACGAUCUACGGAGGAAAGCGGGGGACUGUAGGGCCUUGCGCGAUUGGAGCGGCCGAUGUCAGAUUAAGUAGUUGGUGAGGUAAAGGCUCACCAAGCCGACGAUCUGUAGCUGGUCUGAGAGGACGACCAGCCACACUGGGACUGAGACACGGCCCAGACUCCUACGGGAGGCAGCAGUGGGGAAUUUUGGACAAUGGGCGCAAGCCUGAUCCAGCCAUUCCGCGUGCAGGACGAAGGCCUUCGGGUUGUAAACUGCUUUUGUACGGAACGAAAAGGCUCUGGUUAAUACCUGGGGCUCAUGACGGUACCGUAAGAAUAAGCACCGGCUAACUACGUGCCAGCCGCCGCGGUAA